Molecule: long non-coding RNA, 971 nt
Organism: Drosophila mojavensis
Lineage: Eukaryota; Metazoa; Arthropoda; Insecta; Diptera; Drosophilidae
Exons: 2
Source: RefSeq, a predicted model, not a curated record
CUCGGCUCGGCUCGGUACGUUGAUGUUGAUGUGGGAAAUGUCACAUUGUGACAGUUGACGCCGACAAGUGCUUUGGCUCCAGCUCCAGCUCCGGCUACGGCUCUGGAUGUGGAUGUGGAUGUGGCUCGCCGGUCGUGACCCACCCCUUAGCCCACACUUGAUAAACAUUUGAUUAAUCACACGCACACAAUUACAUAUACAACUGCAGCUACAGAAACAGAUACAAAUACAAUUUUCACACUCUGGUAAAAGAUCAAAGCACUCUUCUGCCUUCGGCAAUGCAAUAACAGUCCGUCAAUUCGUCCAGACCGAGGCCCCAACUAGUCAGUGAGUGAAACUAUUCGCGCAUUAUGUCUAAAUAAACAAACAGAACAGCGACUGGCACUGCCUGAUCGAUUCCAAUCCAAGAGCAAGAGGAAGAGUUAAGGGAAAUCUAUGGAAAUCGUUUGCCAUCUUUCGAUAGUUGCUCGUGGCUGCGUGAAGACUUCGUUCUUCUGUUAGUAAGAUGUAUGGCGCUGUGUGUAUUUCAUGUGGGUGGAAAAUUUAUUUGAAAAACAAUUUUCAUGAAAAGUAUGCGCAUACAAAACUGACAGCUUUUGGCUUCAAGAAAAAUCAACAAACUGCUCGGGACUAUAAAUCGCAAUCUACUGACCCAAACAUAAUGUUGUUUGUAAAGAAACACAUGGGCGGGAUCUGGAUCUGGCCCAAACUGAAUGCUGAAUGGGCAUAAAUAAAUGUUAGUUGGUUUCGAAAGCCACUGGAACAGCAUAGUCUAGUGAAAUUAAAAUGCCAUUAUUGCAGCCUAGCUAAAUAAAUAAUUAAUAUGGGCCAACACAUUGACAAUGACUUGACUCUAUUGAUGUAAUAAAAUAGGGCAAUAUUGUCAUGUCUAAUCAAUUAGCUACAUUAGAUAUAAUAUAAUGAGAUUGAGCUGUAAAUAUUUUAAUAAUAAAAGAAUACUUUCUGCACAA